This 468-nucleotide ribosomal RNA is filed under the name uncultured bacterium. Its description in RNAcentral is "partial 16S ribosomal RNA". It matches the Rfam family "Bacterial small subunit ribosomal RNA", at positions 28 to 507 of the family's 1533-position model. The record is from RNAcentral.
GACGAACGCUGGCGGCGUGCUUAACACAUGCAAGUCGAACGGAAAGGCCCUGCUUUUGUGGGGUGCUCGAGUGGCGAACGGGUGAGUAACACGUGAGUAACCUGCCCUUGACUUUGGGAUAACUUCAGGAAACUGGGGCUAAUACCGGAUAGGAGCUCCUGCUGCAUGGUGGGGGUUGGAAAGUUUCGGCGGUUGGGGAUGGACUCGCGGCUUAUCAGCUGGUUGGUGGGGUAGUGGCGUACCAAGGCUUUGACGGGUAGCCGGCCUGAGAGGGUGACCGGCCACAUGGGGACUGAGAUACGGCGCAGAAUGCUACGGGAGGCAGCAGUGGGGAAUAUGGCACAGUGGGCGGAAGCCUGAUGCAGCAACGCCGCGUGCGGGAUGACGGCUUUCGGGUUGUAAACCGCUUUCGCCGGUGCCGAAGCGUGAGUGACGGUAAUGGGUAAAGAAGCACCGGCUAACUACGUG